CUGUUUCAUAAUGCCACCAUGUUCAGGUCACUGUUUCAUAAUGCCACCAUGUUCAGGUCACUGUUUCAUAAUGCCACUAUGUUCAGGUCGCUGUUUCAUAAUGCCACCAUGUUCAGGUCACUGUUUCAUAAUGACACCAUGUUCAGGUCGCUGUUUCAUAAUGCCACCAUGUUCAGGUCACUGUUUCAUAAUGCCACCAUGUUCAGGUCACUGUUUCAUAAUGCCACUAUGUUCAGGUCGCUGUUUCAUAAUGCCACCAUGUUCAGGUCACUGUUUCAUAAUGACACCAUGUUCAGGUCGCUGUUUCAUAAUGCCACUAUGUUCAGGUCGCUGUUUCAUAAUGCCACCAUGUUCAGGUCACUGUUUCAUAAUGACACCAUGUUCAGGUCGCUGUUUCAUAAUGCCACCAUGUUCAGGUCACUGUUUCAUAAUGACACCAUGUUCAGGUCGCUGUUUCAUAAUGCCACCAUGUUCAGGUCACUGUUUCAUAAUGCCACCAUGUUCAGGUCACUGUUUCAUAAUGACACCAUGUUCAGGUCGCUGUUUCAUAAUGCCACCAUGUUCAGUUCGCUGUUUCAUAAUGCCACCAUGUUCAGGUCGCAGGUUCAGACUUUUGUUUAAUAAUAACACGACCGUGUUCAGCCUUCUCUUUCACUACCGCCCAUCCCAGAGAUAAGUUGAGCACUGGGAAUAAAAAUGGCCCCUGAGUCAUUCUCACAUUUUCACCCCCCAUUUCUGCCCAGAAAGAAAGUCACAGACCGGCCUUCUCAUACAGCUCGCGGCCCGGCCCCAGGCACGGAAGGAAAUAUCGCUGACUUUCUGGACUUUUCUUUUUCCGAUGGGCGAGUCCGACUCUCCUGCAAAUGACAGGUGCUGUCAAAUUCCACACAUAUCAUGGGUGGUGCUUAAAACGCAGAGCAGCCGCCAGCACGCCAUCUUAACGAGCUGCGAGCAUAAAAGCCUGUGAAAACAAACACCUGAGCAAAGCCUUUGAGCUGAGCCGGCGGGAUGAAUAACGACCAAAGCAUGCUGUCCCUGGAGUCAGAGAUUCUGGUCCUAGGCUGUCGGGCAUAGCCUCGGGGUCCUCCAGAGGAUUGGCAAUGUAAGAUGUGCACAAAGCAUAGGGCCUAUUCAAUGGCAGGAUGGGUGGGUGGAUUUUUGUUCCACGGACCAGAGGGUUUACUAUGAGCCACCCUGCCUGUCGAAGUCUUUGUCUGAAACAUAAAAGUGAAGCAGGGGCAUUUGGCUUCAGCCCCAACCUGGGCUUGUUCUUUGAAGACUCUGGCACACACGUGCUCCUUCACCUUUGUACUCACUCCCAUGGACGGGCAGAGCACACAUACUUAAACCACAGGGCAGCAGUGCAUUAGUGUGUCAGGGAGCAUGCGGCACUCUCGUCAUAGGCUCCUGCUUUCACUCUGUUGCCGUCGGCUGUAAUGUCCUGCCACGCGCACAUAAAUCUGUGUUAAUUGCAUGUCUUGCUCAUUGCCUGUCUUCCGGCCUUGAAGCAAAAGAUAUAGCCAAUAGCAAAUGUGCUCCACAUGGGACCCUUAUACAAGAAUUGCUUCUGAAAAGAUAUUUUGC
Brienomyrus brachyistius is the source of this 1584-nucleotide long non-coding RNA. RefSeq lists it as uncharacterized. The record is from RefSeq and is a predicted model, not a curated record. Lineage: Eukaryota; Metazoa; Chordata; Actinopteri; Osteoglossiformes; Mormyridae. The transcript has 3 exons.